RNAcentral lists this ribosomal RNA (492 nucleotides) under uncultured bacterium. Its description in RNAcentral is "partial 16S ribosomal RNA". It matches the Rfam family "Bacterial small subunit ribosomal RNA", at positions 29 to 507 of the family's 1533-position model. The record is from RNAcentral.
AGUGAACGCUGGCGGUAGGCCUAACACAUGCAAGUCGAACGGCAGCACAGUAAGAGCUUGCUCUUACGGGUGGCGAGUGGCGGACGGGUGAGGAAUACAUCGGAAUCUACUUUUUCGUGGGGGAUAACGUAGGGAAACUUACGCUAAUACCGCAUACGACCUACGGGUGAAAGCAGGGGAUCUUCGGACCUUGCGCGAUUGAAUGAGCCGAUGUCGGAUUAGAUAGUUGGCGGGGUAAAGGCCCACCAAGGCGACGAUCCGUAGCUGGUCUGAGAGGAUGAUCAGCCACACUAGAACUGAGACACGGUCCAGACGCCUACGGGAGGCAGCAGUGGGGAAUAUUGGACAAUGGGCGCAAUCCUGAUCCAGCCAUACCGCGUGGGUGAAGAAGGCCUUCGGGUUGUAAAGCCCUUUUGUUGGGAAAGAAAAGCAGCAGGUUAAUACCCCGCUGUUCUGACGGUACCCAAAGAAUAAGCACCGGCUAACUUCGUG